This 468-nucleotide ribosomal RNA is filed under the name uncultured bacterium. RNAcentral's name for it is "partial 16S ribosomal RNA". It matches the Rfam family "Bacterial small subunit ribosomal RNA", at positions 28 to 507 of the family's 1533-position model. The record is from RNAcentral.
GACGAACGCUGGCGGCGUGCUUAACACAUGCAAGUCGAACGGAAAGGCCCUGCGUUUGUGGGUUUCUCGAUUGGCGAACGCGUGAGUAACACGUGAGUAACCUGCCCUUGUCUUUGGGAGAUCUUUAGGAAACUGCGGCGAAUACCGCGGAGGAGCUCCUGCACCAUGUGGGGGGUUGGAAAGUUUCGGCUGUGGUGGAUGGACUCGCUGGUUAUCAGCUUGUUGGUGGGGUAGGGGAUGUCCAGGCUUUUGACGGGUAGCCGGCAUGAGAGGGUGACCGGGCACCAUGGGCCUGAGAUACGGAGCAGAAUGGUACGGGCGGCAGCAGUGGGGAAUCUUGCACAAUGGGCGGAAGCCUGAUGCAGCAACGCCGCGUGCGGGAUGCCGGCCUUCGGGUUGUAAACAACUUUCGAAUGUGACGAAGAGUGAGUGACGGUAAUGGGUAAAGAAGCCACGGCUAACUACGUG